UACGGAGGGGGCGAGCGUUGUUCGGAAUCACUGGGCGUAAAGCGCGUGUAGGCGGCCUCCUAAGUCUGGUGUGAAAGCACGGGGCUUACCCCCGGAAGUGCACUGGAAACUGGGAAGCUAGAGUACCGGAGAGGAGGGUGGAAUUCCUGGUGUAGCGGUGAAAUGCGUAGAUAUCAGGAGGAACACCGUUGGCGAAGGAGGCCCUAUGGAUGGAUACUGACGUUGAGACGCGAAAGCGUGGGGAGCAAACAGG
Molecule: ribosomal RNA, 253 nt
Filed under: uncultured bacterium
Lineage: Bacteria
Description: partial 16S ribosomal RNA
Rfam family: Bacterial small subunit ribosomal RNA
Source: RNAcentral